Molecule: ribosomal RNA, 497 nt
Filed under: uncultured bacterium
Lineage: Bacteria
Description: partial 16S ribosomal RNA
Rfam family: Bacterial small subunit ribosomal RNA
Source: RNAcentral
GAUGAACGCUGGCGGCGUGCCUAAUACAUGCAAGUCGAGCGAACAGAUGAGGAGCUUGCUCCUCUGACGUUAGCGGCGGACGGGUGAGUAACACGUGGAUAACCUACCUAUAAGACUGGGAUAACUUCGGGAAACCGGAGCUAAUACCGGAUAAUAUAUUGAACCGCAUGGUUCAAUAGUGAAAGACGGUUUUGCUGUCACUUAUAGAUGGAUCCGCGCCGCAUUAGCUAGUUGGUAAGGUAACGGCUUACCAAGGCGACGAUGCGUAGCCGACCUGAGAGGGUGAGCGGCCAAACGGGAACGGAGACACGGUCAAGACUCCUACGGGAGGCAGCAGGAGGGAAGCUUGCGCAAUGGGCGAAAGCAUGACGGAGCACUGCCGCGUGAGUGAUGAAGGUCUUCGGAUCGUAAAACUCUGUUAUUAGGGAAGAACAAAUGUGUAAGUAACUAUGCACGUCUUGACGGUACCUAAUCAGAAAGCCACGGCUAACUACGUG